This 633-nucleotide ribosomal RNA is filed under the name Vanderwaltozyma yarrowii. RNAcentral's name for it is "LSU rRNA". It matches the Rfam family "Eukaryotic large subunit ribosomal RNA", at positions 1 to 617 of the family's 3401-position model. Lineage: Eukaryota; Fungi; Ascomycota; Saccharomycetes; Saccharomycetales; Saccharomycetaceae. The record is from RNAcentral.
CGAACAAUACUCUCAAAGUUUGACCUCAAAUCAGGUAGGAUUACCCGCUGAACUUAAGCAUAUCAAUAAGCGGAGGAAAAGAAACCAACCGGGAUUGCCUUAGUAACGGCGAGUGAAGCGGCAAAAGCUCAAAUUUGAAAUCUGGUACCUUUGGUGCCCGAGUUGUAAUUUGUAGAAGGCAACUUUGGGGCUGGUCCUUGUCUAUGUUCCUUGGAACAGGACGUCAUAGAGGGUGAGAAUCCCGUGUGGCGAGGAAUCCAGUCCUUUGUAAAGUGCUUUCGAAGAGUCGAGUUGUUUGGGAAUGCAGCUCUAAGUGGGUGGUAAAUUCCAUCUAAAGCUAAAUAUUGGCGAGAGACCGAUAGCGAACAAGUACAGUGAUGGAAAGAUGAAAAGAACUUUGAAAAGAGAGUGAAAAAGUACGUGAAAUUGUUGAAAGGGAAGGGCAUUUGAUCAGACAUGGUGUUUUGCGCCCCUUACCUCUCGUGGGUGAGGGAAUCUCGCAGUUCACUGGGCCAACAUCAGUUUUGGUGGCAGGAUAAAUCUAUAGGAACGUAACUUGCUUCGGGAAGUAUUAUAGCCUAUGGGAAUACUGCCAACCGGGACUGAGGACUGCGACUUUGUCAACGAUGUGCG